CCUACGGGAGGCAGCAGUGAGGAAUAUUGGUCAAUGGCCGUAAGGCUGAACCAGCCAAGCCGCGUGAAGGAAGAAGGAUCUAUGGUUUGUAAACUUCUUUUAUAGGGGAAUAAAGGUAUCCACGUGUGGAUAUUUGCAUGUACCCUAUGCAUAAGCAUCGGCUAACUCCGUGCCAGCAGCCGCGGUAAUACGGAGGAUGCGAGGGUUAUCCGGAUUUAAUGGGGUUAAAGGGUGCGUAGGUUGUUUUUUAAGUCAGCGGUGAAAGUUUGGGGUUCAACCAUAAAAUUGCCGUUGAAACUGGAAUACUUGAGUGGGUUUGAGGUAGGCGGAAUGCGUGGUGUAGCGGUGAAAUGCAUAGAUAUCACGCAGAACUCCGAUUGCGAAGGCAGCUUACUAGGCCAUAACUGACGCUGAAGCACGAAAGCGUGGGGAUCAAACAGGAUUAGAUACCCGGGUAGUC
Molecule: ribosomal RNA, 460 nt
Filed under: uncultured bacterium
Lineage: Bacteria
Description: partial 16S ribosomal RNA
Rfam family: Bacterial small subunit ribosomal RNA
Source: RNAcentral